RNAcentral lists this ribosomal RNA (574 nucleotides) under uncultured Acidaminococcus sp. RNAcentral's name for it is "bacterial SSU rRNA". It matches the Rfam family "Bacterial small subunit ribosomal RNA", at positions 933 to 1501 of the family's 1533-position model. Lineage: Bacteria; Bacillati; Bacillota; Negativicutes; Acidaminococcales; Acidaminococcaceae. The record is from RNAcentral.
UGGAGUAUGUGGUUUAAUUCGACGCAACGCGAAGAACCUUACCGAGACUUGACAUUGAGUGAAAAUCCUAGAGAUAGGACUUCUCUUUCGAGAGCACAAAAACAGGUGGUGCAUGGUUGUCGUCAGCUCGUGUCGUGAGAUGUUGGGUUAAGUCCCGCAACGAGCGCAACCCUUAUCCUAUGUUACCAGCAAGUAAAGUUGGGGACUCAUGGGAGACUGCCAGGGACAACCUGGAGGAAGGCGGGGAUGACGUCAAAUCAUCAUGCCCCUUAUGUCUCGGGCUACACACGUACUACAAUGGUCGGCAACAAAGGGCAGCAAUACCGCGAGGUGGAGCAAAUCCCAUAAACCCGACCCCAGUUCGGAUUGCAGGCUGCAACUCGCCUGCAUGAAGUUGGAAUCGCUAGUAAUCGCAGGUCAGCGUACUGCGGUGAAUACGUUCCCGGGCCUUGUACACACCGCCCGUCACACCACGAAAGUUGAUAACACCCAAAGCCAGUGAGGUAACCUUUUCGGAGGAGCCAGCUGUCUAAGGUGGGAUUGAUGAUUGGGGUGAAGUCGUAACAAGGUAACC